RNAcentral lists this ribosomal RNA (253 nucleotides) under uncultured bacterium. RNAcentral's name for it is "partial 16S ribosomal RNA". It matches the Rfam family "Bacterial small subunit ribosomal RNA", at positions 524 to 776 of the family's 1533-position model. The record is from RNAcentral.
UACAGAGGAUGCAAGCGUUAUCCGGAAUUAUUGGGCGUAAAGCGUCUGUAGGUGGCUUUUUAAGUCCGCCGUCAAAUCCCAGGGCUCAACUCUGGACAGGCGGUGGAAACUACCAAGCUGGAGUACGGUAGGGGCAGAGGGAAUUUCCGGUGGAGCGGUGAAAUGCAUAGAUAUGUCACAGAACACCAAUUGCGAAGGCAGCUUACUAUGGUAUGAUUGACGCUGAGGCACGAAAGCGUGGGGAUCAAACAGG